GUGGUUUAAGCAUAGAUUAUAUAUAUCACUUUUGCAUUAUAUCAAUUAUAGGAUACUACAUGUAUUAUUAUUUUCAUUUUUCUAUCUUUUGUGAUUAUUCAUAUAUGUUUUAGCUUUCAGAAUUGCAUUCUGAAUUGACUUUAAAGGAAUAUAAAGCAUUUGGGGAUUGUCUACCCUUCAUUGUACUGAUUGCAUUAUCAAUUGCAUUUUCUUAUUAUUAAAAUUUGGCCC
This 231-nucleotide long non-coding RNA is filed under the name Mytilus galloprovincialis (Mediterranean mussel). Lineage: Eukaryota; Metazoa; Mollusca; Bivalvia; Mytilida; Mytilidae. The record is from RNAcentral.